This 466-nucleotide ribosomal RNA is filed under the name uncultured bacterium. Its description in RNAcentral is "partial 16S ribosomal RNA". It matches the Rfam family "Bacterial small subunit ribosomal RNA", at positions 28 to 507 of the family's 1533-position model. The record is from RNAcentral.
GAUGAACGCUGGCGGCGUGCUUAACACAUGCAAGUCGAACGGAAAGGCCCAAUCUUUCUUGGGUACUCGAUUGGCGAUCGUGUGUGUAACACGUGUGUGAUCUGCCCCGCACUUCGUGAUAAGCCUGGGAAACUGGGUCUAAUACCGGAUAGGACCACUUCUUGCUGGUUGUGUUGGAAAGUUUUUUCGGUGUGGGAUGAGCUCGCGGCCUAUCAGCUUGUUGGUGGGGUAAUGGCCUACCAAGGCGUCGACGGGUAGCCGGCAUGAGAGGGUGUACGGCGACAAUGGGAAUGAGAUAAGGCGCAGAGUGCAACGGGAGGCAGGAGUGGGGAAGAUUGAAAAAUGGGAGGAAGCGUGAUGAAGAGAAGAGGGGUGGGGGAUGACGGGCAAGGGGUAGAAAAAAAAAGUAGAAAGGGAAGAAGAGAAAGUGACGGUAAAUAGAGAAGAAGCACCGGCUAAAUACGUG